This 462-nucleotide ribosomal RNA is filed under the name uncultured soil bacterium PBS-22. Its description in RNAcentral is "bacterial SSU rRNA". It matches the Rfam family "Bacterial small subunit ribosomal RNA", at positions 338 to 795 of the family's 1533-position model. Lineage: Bacteria; Pseudomonadati; Planctomycetota; Planctomycetia; Planctomycetales. The record is from RNAcentral.
CCUACGGGGGGCUGCAGCAACGAAUCUUCCCCAAUGCCGGAAACGGUGAGGGAGCGACGCCGCGUGAAGGAUGAAGUCCUUCGGGAUGUAAACUUCUUUUAGGGUUACGAAAGCGAAGGGACCUAAUACGUCCUGAGUUGAUCUAGCCCAGAAUAAGGGGCGGCUAACUCUGUGCCAGCAGCCGCGGUAAUACAGAGGCCCCAAGCGUUACUGAGAAUCACUGGGUUUAAAGGGUGCGUAGGUGGUCCGUUAAGUCAGUUGUGAAAUCCCCGGGCUCAACCCGGGAACUGCUUCUGAUACUGGCGGACUUGAGGCCGGUAGGGGUCACUGGAACUGACGGUGGAGCGGUGAAAUGCGUAGAUAUCGUCAGGAACGCCUGUGGUGAAGACGGGUGACUGGGCCGGAUCUGACACUGAGGCACGAAAGCGUGGGGAGCAAACGGGAUUAGAUACCCUAGUAGUC